AAUGAAUUGCCUGAUAAAAGGAUUACUUUGAUAGAGUAAAUUAUGUAAUAUAAUUACCUUCAUUA
RNAcentral lists this transfer RNA (65 nucleotides) under Loxocera planivena. RNAcentral's name for it is "tRNA-Ile". RNAcentral also lists the same sequence under 1 other name. The record is from RNAcentral. Lineage: Eukaryota; Metazoa; Arthropoda; Insecta; Diptera; Psilidae.